This is a long non-coding RNA of Amblyraja radiata (thorny skate), 833 nucleotides long. RefSeq lists it as uncharacterized. The transcript is spliced from 3 exons. The record is from RefSeq and is a predicted model, not a curated record. Lineage: Eukaryota; Metazoa; Chordata; Chondrichthyes; Rajiformes; Rajidae.
AAAGGGAGGGGCGACCAAAGCCUCUUAAAGGGAUGGGCGUCCAAAGCCUCUUAAAGGGAUGGGCGUCCAAAGCCUCUUGAAGUGACUCACUCACCGUCGGCCAAGCGGGGGUAGAGCUCCCUCAUGCAUUAAAUAUCGUUUUUAAACGUAGUAUCUACAGACAAGAGACUAAGCAAAAUUUUGGGGGCUCGUUAGUAUGUCGCUUCAAAGGUCAUUGUGGAAAAUAAAAGCUCACGGUGAAGGAGAUAACGUAUUGGCGAGGAUAGGGUAUGUGCAUACUCCCCAUACAUGGAGUCAAAGUCCUCAAGAUGUAAGGAGUGCUGCAUCAUAGAGAUGGGUGCUUCUGCCUUUAAAUACAAAAGUUAUGAGAAGCUACAAAAAGCUGGAAUAACUCAACGUCAGACAGCAUCUCUGGAGAAAAGGAAUAUGUGAUGUUUCGGCUUGAGACCCUUCUUCAGACUUUCUGUCCUAGGCCUCCUCCAUUGUCAGUCAUCGACUCUUUGGCUCACCAAGUCUGGUUCCAUUGAUUAUCCUUAAGAUGUUUCUACAACUUGAUUGGAGUCCACCAGUGGUAAAUUAAAUAGAUUGUACAUGAUUUGGAAAGGCACACUUCUGUCUAUAUAAGGUCCCGCAGUUGACAGUGCAUGUCAGAGCAAAAAUCAAGCCAUGAAGACGAAGGAAUUGUCUGCAACUUCUGCAGCAGUGCAGGUCCCGAAGAUCACAAUGGUCUCCCUCAUUCUUAAAUGGAAGAACUUUGAAACCACCAAGAUUCUUCAUAGAGCUGACCGCCCAGCCAAACUGAGCAAUCGGGGGAGAAUGGCCUUGGUCAGGGA